CUUUUAUUGGACAUUGACUACUACGUGUCGUGCUUUUAUUGAAGGUUGACGUUAAUUAUGAGCAUGAAAUUAAUGUUUAAUAAAAGCAAGACACGUGGCGGUCAACGUCC
Non-coding RNA from Glycine soja, 110 nucleotides. NCBI's taxonomy places the organism in Eukaryota, Viridiplantae, Streptophyta, Magnoliopsida, Fabales, Fabaceae. The record is from Rfam.